RNAcentral lists this ribosomal RNA (395 nucleotides) under uncultured bacterium. RNAcentral's name for it is "bacterial SSU rRNA". It matches the Rfam family "Bacterial small subunit ribosomal RNA", at positions 505 to 898 of the family's 1533-position model. The record is from RNAcentral.
GUGUCAGCAGCCGCGGUAAGACGUAGGUGGCAAGCGUUACUCGGAAUUACUAGGCGUAAAGCGCGCGUAGGCGGAAUGUUAAGUCUGUUGUGUAAUCUCUGGGCUCAACCCAGAAACUGCAACGGAAACUGGCGUUCUUGAGUGAGGCAGAGGAGAUCGGAAUUCCUAGUGUAGCAGUGAAAUGCGUAGAUAUUAGGAGGAACACCGGUGGCGAAGGCGGAUCUCUGGGCCUUUACUGACGCUCAAGUGCGAAAGCUAGGGGAGCAAACGGGAUUAGAUACCCCGGUAGUCCUAGCCGUAAACGAUGAUAACUAGGUGUGGGAGGUAUCGACCCCUUCCGUGCCGACGCUAACGCAUUAAGUUAUCCGCCUGGGGAGUACGGCCGCAAGGUUAAA